Molecule: ribosomal RNA, 423 nt
Filed under: uncultured bacterium
Lineage: Bacteria
Description: bacterial SSU rRNA
Rfam family: Bacterial small subunit ribosomal RNA
Source: RNAcentral
AAGACCUUGCACUUUUGGAGCGGCCGAUGUCUGAUUAGCUAGUUGGUGGGGUAAAGGCCUACCAAAGCUUCGAUCAGUAGCUGGUCUGAGAGGACGGCCAGCCACACUGGGACUGAGACACGGCCCAGACUCCUACGGGAGGCAGCAGUGGGGAAUUUUGGACAAUGGGCGCAAGCCUGAUCCAGCCAUGCCGCGUGAGUGAAGAAGGCCUUCGGGUUGUAAAGCUCUUUCAGCCGGGAAGAAAAGGCUGCGACUAAUAAUCGCAGUUCAUGACGGUACCGGAAGAAGAAGCACCGGCUAACUACGUGCCAGCAGCCGCGGUAAUACGUAGGGUGCGAGCGUUAAUCGGAAUUACUGGGCGUAAAGGGUGCGCAGGCGGUUUUGUAAGUCAGAUGUGGAAUCCCCGGGCUUAACCUGGGAACU